Molecule: long non-coding RNA, 932 nt
Organism: Catharus ustulatus (Swainson's thrush)
Lineage: Eukaryota; Metazoa; Chordata; Aves; Passeriformes; Turdidae
Exons: 3
Source: RefSeq, a predicted model, not a curated record
UGUGAGUGGAAAAUCGAGCCAAGGAGAGGACCGCAUGCAGCAUUUCUGCAACAAAAAACAUCUCAGUUGUAGAGGCCUGUUUCCAGCAAGAUGGAUGGAUGCACUGGCCUAUGUACAUCAACAGUAACCAAGGUACCAUGCUCAGAACUGGCAUUACAUUGGGGAAGCAAUUCUCUGAAAGUCAGGGAGGUCAAGGCAGUCACUACCAGCACAGCUCAGCACACUCUACUCUCUUCCACAAGAUACUCUUGGAGAAGAGGGCUGCAGAAACUGAGCCUACAGGUCGUACAGCUUUUCCUAAGAGGUUGCAAAUGGCCCGUGAGCCAGAAGCUAAACCAUCCUGAACUAUGUUUUUGUAAUGCAGAAAGUGUUCCUUAUACUGACUGAGGAAGACCUUGCCUCAUAGGUCAUAGGAGUUUUGUUUCCCUAAUAGUUAGGCCUGUUUCCCUAUUUGACUAAAAUUAAUGAAGUUGUUGCCUGCCACAUUAAAAUCCAUGCAUGUAUCUGUAAUUUAUUUGCGUGUCUCUGUCAAAUGAAUAUUGUUAUAUACAGCACUGCACUUUAUUCAACUAAACUGAGGGAAGCCCAGGUGUGUUUUUACGUGGCAGGCUACCUUAUCUGCAAGUACAAACUUCAGAAUAUUGAAAUGCUAUGAAGAUUGUACUAUCCACAGGGAAGGGGAAGUGCUAAUGCUCACUUAUCUCUGUGUAUUUUAGCCAGGUUUGUUAAAAAUUUAAGUCCUUUUAAAUUGUUCUAUUUUUGCAGUGAUUCAUGUAGCAUACCUUUUACUCUAAGUCAGAACAGCAGGCUCUCAGGCUUAACCUGUUUUAAAACAAUUCUUGCCUUCACAUAAACACCAAGAAACACACAAGAAGGUGGUGUAUUUACUAUGACUAGUAAUAAAGAUUUAGAAAUAAAGUUAUAAGGCUCUA